AAGUCGUAACAAGGUCUCCGUUGGUGAACCAGCGGAGGGAUCAUUACCGAGUUUACAACUCCCAAACCCCUGUGAACAUACCAAUUGUUGCCUCGGCGGAUCAGCCCGCUCCCGGUAAAACGGGACGGCCCGCCAGAGGACCCCUAAACUCUGUUUCUAUAUGUAACUUCUGAGUAAAACCAUAAAUAAAUCAAAACUUUCAACAACGGAUCUCUUGGUUCUGGCAUCGAUGAAGAACGCAGCAAAAUGCGAUAAGUAAUGUGAAUUGCAGAAUUCAGUGAAUCAUCGAAUCUUUGAACGCACAUUGCGCCCGCCAGUAUUCUGGCGGGCAUGCCUGUUCGAGCGUCAUUUCAACCCUCAAGCCCAGCUUGGUGUUGGGACUCGCGAGUCAAAUCGCGUUCCCCAAAUUGAUUGGCGGUCACGUCGAGCUUCCAUAGCGUAGUAGUAAAACCCUCGUUACUGGUAAUCGUCGCGGCCACGCCGUUAAACCCCAACUUCUGAAUGUUGACCUCGGAUCAGGUAGGAAUACCCGCUGAACUUAAGCAUAUCAAUA
Molecule: ribosomal RNA, 553 nt
Filed under: uncultured eukaryote
Lineage: Eukaryota
Description: eukaryotic LSU rRNA
Rfam family: 5.8S ribosomal RNA (bases 195-348)
Source: RNAcentral